AGUGAACGCUGGCGGUAGGCCUAACACAUGCAAGUCGAACGGCAGCACAGUAAGAGCUUGCUCUUACGGGUGGCGAGUGGCGGACGGGUGAGGAAUACAUCGGAGUCUACUUUUUCGUGGGGGAUAACGUAGGGAAACUUACGCUAAUACCGCAUACGACCUACGGGUGAAAGCAGGGGAUCUUCGGACCUUGCGCGAUUGAAUGAGCCGAUGUCGGAUUAGCUAGUUGGCGGGGUAAAGGCCCACCAAGGCGACGAUCCGUAGAUGGUCUGAGAGGAUGAUCAGCCACACUGGAACUGAGACACGGUCCAGACUCCUACGGGAGGCAGCAGUGGGGAAUAUUGGACAAUGGGCGCAAGCCUGAUCCAGCCAUACCGCGUGGGUGAAGAAGGCCUUCGGGUUGUAAAGCCCUUUUGUUGGGAAAGAAAAGCAGCAGGUUAAUACCCCGCUGUUCUGACGGUACCCAAAGAAUAAGCACCGGCUAACUUCGUG
Molecule: ribosomal RNA, 492 nt
Filed under: uncultured bacterium
Lineage: Bacteria
Description: partial 16S ribosomal RNA
Rfam family: Bacterial small subunit ribosomal RNA
Source: RNAcentral